AUUGAACGCUGGCGGCAGGCCUAACACAUGCAAGUCGAAUGGUAACAGGAAACAGCUUGCUGUUUCGCUGACGAGUGGCGGACGGGUGAGUAAUGUCUGGGAAACUGCCUGAUGGAGGGGGAUAACUACUGGAAACGGUAGCUAAUACCGCAUAACGUCGCAAGACCAAAGAGGGGGACCUUCGGGCCUCUUGCCAUCAGAUGUGCCCAGAUGGGAUUAGCUAGUAGGUGGGGUAACGGCUCACCUAGGCGACGAUCCCUAGCUGGUCUGAGAGGAUGACCAGCCACACUGGAACUGAGACACGGUCCAGACUCCUACGGGAGGCAGCAGUGGGGAAUAUUGCACAGUGGGCGCAAGCCUGAUGCAGCCAUGCCGCGUGUAUGAAGAAGGCCUUCGGGUUGUAAAGUACUUUCAGCGGGGAGGAAGGGAGUAAAGUUAAUACCUUGGCUCAUUGACGUUACCCGCAGAAGAAGCACCGGCUAACUCCGUG
This 490-nucleotide ribosomal RNA is filed under the name uncultured bacterium. RNAcentral's name for it is "partial 16S ribosomal RNA". It matches the Rfam family "Bacterial small subunit ribosomal RNA", at positions 30 to 507 of the family's 1533-position model. The record is from RNAcentral.